UGGGGAAUAUUGCACAAUGGUCGCAAGCCUGAUGCAGCAACGCCGCGUGAAUGAUGAAGGUCUUCGGAUCGUAAAGUUCUGUUGCAGGGGAAGAUAAUGACGGUACCCUGUGAGGAAGCCCCGGCUAACUACGUGCCAGCAGCCGCGGUAAUACGUAGGGGGCUAGCGUUAUCCGGAUUUACUGGGCGUAAAGGGUGCGUAGGUGGUCUUUCAAGUCGGUGGUUAAAGGCUACGGCUCAACCGUAGUUAGCCUCCGAAACUGGAAGACUUGAGUGCAGGAGAGGAAAGUGGAAUUCCCAGUGGAGCGGUGAAAUGCGUAGAUAAUGGGAGGAACACCAGUAGCGAAGGCGGCUUUCUGGACUGCAACUGACACUGAGGCACGAAAGCGUGGGUAGCAAACAGG
Molecule: ribosomal RNA, 403 nt
Filed under: Verrucomicrobiota bacterium
Lineage: Bacteria; Pseudomonadati; Verrucomicrobiota
Description: Verrucomicrobia bacterium partial 16S ribosomal RNA
Rfam family: Bacterial small subunit ribosomal RNA
Source: RNAcentral